CGGCCGCAAAAAGAUCAAGGCGGAGAACCCGGGGGGUCCGCCUGUCCUUGUAGUCCCCUACCCCAUCCUGGCCUCGGGCGAGACUGCCAAGGAGGGCAAGACGUACAGGUGUAAGGUAUGCCCGCUGACCUUUUUCACCAAGUCGGAGAUGCAGAUCCACUCCAAGUCGCACACAGAGGCCAAGCCCCACAAGUGCCCGCACUGCUCCAAGUCCUUUGCCAACGCCUCCUACCUGGCCCAGCACCUGCGCAUCCACCUGGGCGUCAAGCCCUACCACUGCUCCUACUGUGAUAAGUCCUUCCGGCAGCUCUCCCACCUCCAGCAGCACACCAGGUGAGUGGCCUGCCUGCUGCCCUGCUGCAGCCCAACUCAGCUCAGCACCUGUGGCCUGGCACAUGGAGCCAGUGCAAGGAGGGGCAAGGACCUUCUCCAGGUGCCCAUUGCCCUCGGGGUCGCGGCCCCUGCGGACCUCACUGGCCUCAGCUGUUGUUACUG
This 495-nucleotide small RNA is filed under the name Pongo abelii (Sumatran orangutan). RNAcentral's name for it is "retained intron". Lineage: Eukaryota; Metazoa; Chordata; Mammalia; Primates; Hominidae. The record is from RNAcentral.